GGCCCGUUCGUCUAGGGUUAGGACAGGAGAUUUUCAUUCUUCAAACAGGGGUUCGAUUCCCUACGGGCUA
Molecule: transfer RNA, 70 nt
Filed under: Mucilaginibacter gossypii
Lineage: Bacteria; Pseudomonadati; Bacteroidota; Sphingobacteriia; Sphingobacteriales; Sphingobacteriaceae
Description: tRNA-Glu
Rfam family: tRNA
About the family: Transfer RNA (tRNA) molecules are approximately 80 nucleotides in length. Their secondary structure includes four short double-helical elements and three loops (D, anti-codon, and T loops).
Source: RNAcentral